Molecule: microRNA precursor, 84 nt
Filed under: Marmota monax (woodchuck)
Lineage: Eukaryota; Metazoa; Chordata; Mammalia; Rodentia; Sciuridae
Source: RNAcentral
UGUGUGUGUGUGUUUGUGUGUGUGUGUGCGCGCACGCGCGUGCGUGCAUGUGCGUGUGUGUGCACACACACACACACACAUACA